Molecule: long non-coding RNA, 2530 nt
Organism: Phyllopteryx taeniolatus (common seadragon)
Lineage: Eukaryota; Metazoa; Chordata; Actinopteri; Syngnathiformes; Syngnathidae
Exons: 3
Source: RefSeq, a predicted model, not a curated record
GCUGCCUGACGUCACGACGGGAAGCGGUUUUGGCCGGAACCCAAGCAGGCUGAAGCUUGGACGCGUCUCUUCACCGCAGACGCUGUCCUGAGCCGCAUGCGGGACAGCCCAGCGCUGAGCCCUGUUGAGGAAAACAAAAGAUGGUGGAAUCUGCUUCUACAACAAAGAAAAAUGGUGCACUGAUGUCACGGAGCUCAUCGCACACUGCAGUUUCUCUUUUUCAACUGUAAGUCAUUCUACUAGCAGUGCGACUUUUGUUCAUUCAUACUCGCCGCUGUCUACAUUCCUCCCCAGGCUAACAUGAACACCGCACUGCAAACGCUGGCUCACCAAGUAAACAAACUUGAAGAAAAAAGCGCACUGAGAUUCACCCCUCAUUAUUCUUGGGGACUUUAACAAAGCUCAACCACACAGUCCCUAAAUACACGCAGCACAUUGACUGUCUCACCAGUCAAUUGGGCUUGUCCUAUCGUUGUGUAAUUCACUUAAUACUAACCUAACCCGACACAAACCUAAAUGUGCAAAGUCUGUGGUGAAAACAGUGAAGAAGUGGAACAAUGAAGGAAAGAUGGAACUUAAAGACUUGUUUAGACUGCACAGAUUGGAGUCUUUGAAAUGUCAACUGGCAGCUUGGAUGAAUCUACAGACACUAUUACAUCCUACAUCAGCUUCUGUGAGACGUGUGUGUACCAACAAAGACAUUUCUUACGUUGAAUAACAACGAGCCGUGGUUCACUGCCAGGCUAAAGAGGAUGCCUAUCAGUGUGGGGACAGAGCCCUUUACAAUCAGGCCAGAAACCAGGUGGCAAAAGAAAUCAACAUCGCAAAGACAAAUUAUGCAGAAAAACUGCAAAAACAGUUUCCUGCUAACGACUCUGUCAGUUUGGUGAGGAUUACAAUCGCUAACCAACUACAAGAGAUCGAUACCUUCUACUGCAGAUUUGAAAAGGACAUUUUCACACCCCACACCCACCCAUCCGCACCACGGAUGACCACCAUCACACCUCUCACCCUCUAUCUGCAUUGACGAUUCACGAACAGGAUGUGAAACGUGUCUUUAAACGACAAAAGAUCAACAAAGCGGCGGACCUGGCCAGUGUGUUCCCCUCGUGCUUGAAAGUCUGCAGGGACCAGCUCAUUCCAGUUUUCACACAGCAGUUUUCAAUAGAUCUUUGAAACUGUGUGAAGACCCAUCCUGCCUCAAACGCUCCAUCAUCUUCCCAGUCCCCAGGAAAAAUGCAAUUUCAGGACUGAAUGACUAUAGAGCUGUCGCUCUGACAUCUGUGGUCAUGAAGUCCUUUGAACGCCUUGUGCUGGACCACCUCAAGAGCAUCACAGGACCCCUGCUGGACCCCCAGCAGUCAACAUUGGAUUGUACUUCAUCCUGGAACAACUCGACAACGCAGGGACCUAUGUGAGGAUCCUGUUCAUAGACUUCAGCUCUGCAUUCAACACCAUCAUCCCAGAACUCCUCUCCUCCAAGCUUCUCCAGCUCAGCGACUUGCCUGCCAUUUGCCAGUGGAUCUACAGCUUCCUGACGGACAGGAAACAGCAGGUGAGGCUGGGUGACACCACCUCAUCCACACGCACCAUCAGCACCGGGACGCCCCAAAGAUGUGUACUCUCGCCGCUAUUUUUCUCUCGCUACAUGAACAACUGCACCCCAACGCACCCGACUGUUAAAUUUCUGAGGUUCGCAGACGACACCACAGUCAUCGGCCUCAUCAAAGACGGUGACGAGUCGACAGGAAGUGGAGCGGCUGGAGCUUUGGUGCAGCCAACAAAAUCUGGAGCUGAACACUCUCAAGACGGUAGACUUCAGGAAUCAUCCUUCGCCACAGCUGCCCCUCACACUCUCCAACUGCCCUGUGUCAACCGCCGAGACCUUCAAGUUGCUGGGAAUGACAGUUUCUCAGGACUUGAAGUGGGAGACCAACAUCAAUUCCAUCCUCCAAAAAGCCCAGCAGAGGAUGUACUUCCUGUGACUUCUGUGGAAGCACAGCCUGCCACAGGAGCUAUUGAGGCAGCAGUAUUCUUCACAGCAGUAAUUGAAUCGGUUCUGUGUUCAUCCAUCAGUCUGGUGUGGUGCUGCCACAAAGGACAUAUUCAGAAUGCAACGGAUAGUCAAAGCUGCAGAAAAAAUUCUUGGUACCCACCUACUCACUCUUGAGGACUUGCAUGAGGCCAGAACUAAGAUAAGGGCAUGCAAAAUCCUCUUGGACCCUCAACAUCCUUGUCACCACCUAUUCCAGCUCCUUCCCUCAGAUGUGGCUACGUGGUACGUGUUUUCUGCAUCGUGCUGAAAGGCUUUCUACGAUAUGUACAGCAUUAGGAUCUGCCGUGAAUGUGGAAGUCUGUAUAAAAGCAGCAAACCUGGAUAUGUUGCAGCAGGGAAAGGGGGAGUACUGCAGGCUAUGUACUCUGAAGACCCUCAUCCAGGAUACUGCAGUGCCUUCUGCAGCCAAAUGCAAUAUGUUAACAUAGGGCUGCACAAUGAAUCGAAUUUUAAUCGUUAUCGAGAGUUUGGCUG